This 430-nucleotide long non-coding RNA is filed under the name Chelonoidis abingdonii (Abingdon island giant tortoise). RNAcentral's name for it is "lncRNA (ENSCABG00000012739.1)". The record is from RNAcentral. Lineage: Eukaryota; Metazoa; Chordata; Testudines; Testudinidae.
AUUUUACUCAGACACCUGUUCGGAGUCCUGCAUCAGAUUGAGAAGAAUUCAGGGGAGAAUCAGAUGAAUGCAUUUAACCUGGCUCUUUGCAUAGCUCCCAACAUGCUAUGGCUUCCUAGCCCCACUGGGCCUGAAGAGGAAAGCAGGUCUACAAAAAAGGUGGCCAUGUUAGUGCAGUUCCUGAUUGAAAACUCGGCAGAAAUUUUUGGAAGUGACAUCACUUCGCUGUUUCAAAGACCAGACAAAGGAAAGUCAAAAAGCUCUGAGGAUUUCCUGGGUAUUGGCAUGGCUCAGCACACUGAUUCCUCUGAUGAGAUGGAGUUUGCUGCCUGUGACCAGGAAAGACCAAAGUAUCAUCGCGUGCCUGAAGCCGUCUCCAUGUUUGACCCAUCCACUGGUUUGUUACUUGAAGAGGAGCAGGAAGACUGGG